Molecule: long non-coding RNA, 1242 nt
Organism: Nerophis lumbriciformis (worm pipefish)
Lineage: Eukaryota; Metazoa; Chordata; Actinopteri; Syngnathiformes; Syngnathidae
Source: RefSeq, a predicted model, not a curated record
UUUGCACACGACAACAGAGUGAAAAACAAGAAAGCAGAGUGAACAUGACAUUUACAAAGCAGCAGAAAACUUUGGCCUGAAGGACCUGAAGGCCAAAACCAAGGCUGGGAUGAAAGUGGUGCAGUAGGUGGUUCCAAUCAAAGGAGGUUUUGCAAGAUCAGUCCUGGGAGAGAAGCUGUCACCAGUGGAGAGGUGCCAGGCUGCGGGAGAAGUGGAGUGCUGCUCCCAUGGCCGCCAUGAGACACGUGACGUGCAUGAUUGCAUUAGCUUGUCGCCAAUCAUAUAAUGAAGUCUCUGCCAGAGCAGACACAAGUCUGGCCACGCCCCUGCAGCGGGGAAAAGAAUGCGAUCGCUGGGAUUAACAAGGAAGGAGCCCGAAGGGAAGCGGAGCGAAGCCUUUUUGCCGGAGAGAGAUAGCAAGAUUCAGGAGCUUAGCGCUGUCAAAUGUUUUAUUCAGCCAUGACCGAGAGCGCCGCCAAACAGAUUAGCUUGUUUACCACAGGUUCUCAUUUAACAGAUAAAUCUUUCAAUGUUGGAUUUGGCUGGCAGAGGUGGACAGGGACAGCAACCAUGUCACGCUCGGUUGUUAGGGAUGGAAUGCAGCUGCAACUUCAUGAAACAAAAGCAGGAUCAAUCACCAGGCAACAAGUGGACUAUGAACCUUCAUUUUAGCUAAAAGCAUUUCCAGCGAGGAAUCGAGACAAACUGAAGACUUACUUUUAGUCUAACUGGGAGGUCACUUCUCAAAGUCACAUUUAUAAAAAGUCAAGGGAUCAUGAAGGACACAUGCAAGGGGAUGAAGGAAAACAGACUGUACAUCUCAGAACUUCAACAGUUUGUCAAGUGAGAUCAAAAACUGACCCAAAAUCUCAGAAAAAAGGGCAGCUGGACUCAACCUAAGAGAUAGUCCAAGGAGUUCAGUCAUCCGGGAAGAGCUCAGUGUAGAACUCGCUGAAGUGGCUCGGGUAUCUAAUCUGGAUUCUUCCUGGAUGCCACCCUGGUGAGGCAUUCCGGGCAUGCCCAGAGGAGGUCCCGUUGAAGACCCAGGAUACGCUCGAUGGACUAUGUCCUGCAGCUGGCCAGGGAAUUCUUCUGUGUCCUGGAAGAGGCAGCUUGAGUCCCGGACAUCUGUGCUUCCUUAAUAUGCUGGAAUCUAGCUCGUCUGACUUUGGACAAGAAGCAGGGUCAGGGGUAUGGUGGACUCUAUCUUGCCUGAGUUUGGACAAGAAGCAGGGUCACAGG